GCAUAUCAAUAAGCGGAGGAAAAGAAACUAACAAGGAUUCCCUUAGUAACGGCGAGUGAAGCGGGAAUAGCUCAAAUUUGAAAGCUGGCAGCAAUGUCCGCGUUGUAAUCUARAGAAGUGUUUUCCGUGCUGGACCAUAGAUAUGUUCCUUGGAAUAGGAUGUCAUAGAGGGUGAGAACCCCGUACAUGCUAUGGACGCCCAGUGCUUUGUGAUACACUUUCGAAGAGUCGAGUUGUUUGGGAAUGCAGCUCAAAAUGGGUGGUAAAUUCCAUCUAAAGCUAAAUAUUGGGGAGAGACCGAUAGCAAACAAGUACCGUGAGGGAAAGAUGAAAAGCACUUUGGAAAGAGAGUUAAACAGUACGUGAAAUUGUCAAAAGGGAAGCGCUUCAAGUCAGAUAUGGCUUUGAAUGUUCAGCCUUUAGGUGUAUUCAUUUUUUGUCAGGCCAGCAUCGAUUUUGAACGUCGGAUAAGGGUAGAAAGAACGUAGCAUACUCUCGGGUAUGUGUUAUAGCUUUUUACUGGAUUCGACGAUCGGGAUCGAGGUUCGCAGCACACCCUUUUUUGGGCAGGUCUCGGACACUUUUUGUGCUUAGGAUGCUGGCGUAAUGGCUUGAAGCGACCCGUCUUGAAACACGGACC
RNAcentral lists this ribosomal RNA (640 nucleotides) under Meira cf. geulakonigae PBM39. RNAcentral's name for it is "eukaryotic LSU rRNA". It matches the Rfam family "Eukaryotic large subunit ribosomal RNA", at positions 38 to 667 of the family's 3401-position model. Lineage: Eukaryota; Fungi; Basidiomycota; Exobasidiomycetes; Exobasidiales; Brachybasidiaceae. The record is from RNAcentral.